RNAcentral lists this long non-coding RNA (263 nucleotides) under Bos taurus (domestic cattle). RNAcentral describes it as "long non-coding RNA NONBTAT027062". Lineage: Eukaryota; Metazoa; Chordata; Mammalia; Artiodactyla; Bovidae. The record is from RNAcentral.
CUUGGGCCCAUCUUUUGAAAGAUACUGAGGCUCUGGGAUUAAAAGGAGUCGACCUGCAUUCUACGCAACUUGGGGCAAUUCCCAAGUUUCUAUUCCACUUCCCAGCUUACUAGACUGAUUCCCUCCCAUUUCGACCACUGUGACUCAUUCUCAAGAGAUUUUACCAUUUCAAGGUUCAAACGUCACUCAGAUUAUUAUCUUUGUAACCUGAUGGAUGUGCGUGUUCAUUUGUUGUUGCUGUGGGAUACACUCCACACGUCCGA